CCGCCAUGGCAACCACUUCCGGGUCGCUCGCCGUCGCGGAGGAAGAAGGCGUGGCCAAAUGGGCGAGGCCUCGGGGGAGCCAAUCCGAGGUCAGCAGCGCGGGCUCGCCCGCGGACACCUGGAGCAUGCGCACUAGGUGCCCUCUGGGACAUCCUCUGGCCUUUCCUUAAAUGACUCAAGAAGGACCCAUUUAUUUUCAGCAUUGACCUGACCUGCUUCUCUGACAAGUCCCUUUAAGUCAGAAAUAAGGUUUAGAGGAGUACCUUACACCAUACUGAACAAAUUUAAAAUGGACAUGUGACCAAAAGCUGCUAGAAUUAGAAAAUUACAAGAGAAGCCAUCAUCUUCCAUCCACCUACAGCAACAGAGAAGGCAUAAAGGAGAGGCAAUCACUGAAGCCUGAAUGUCAUUUUUAUUAUAUGAAAUUAACACGUUUUCUAAAAAUAAUAAUGCAGCUGGGAAAAUAGAAAAAAAUUCUCAAUAUCUAACAUCUGAGAUUCUAGACAACUGGAAAGAAAAGACCACAAAUUGUGGUCAAAUGAAAGGAUGUUUUCAAAAGAAGAAUUCACGCCAAUGCAAAUCAGAACCACAUCAGAUGCAGCCAAGCAGUGAGAAUCAUAGGACCCCUUCAAGUUACUACCCUGUAUUUGUGCUCCUUGACUAGUAAAAGCUGACUCCACUCCCUCUUUUUCACUCUCUCCCCAGUUUUUGUAACCUAAUGUCGUGCUUCAGCUGAAAGCACUCUCCAACCAUCUCUUACUAGACCCGUUAUCUACUUGGCACCACAGAGAGUGCUAGAUUUGGUCGUUGGGAAGACCUGAAUUCAAAUGCCACUAACUAGAUAUGGGACUUGAGCAAGACACAAUCUUCCUCAGCCUGUUUCCUCAUCUGCAUAAAGGGGGCAAAUGAUAGCAGCUACCUCUCAUCAGGGGAGGAUAGAAUUGGAUUAUUUGUAAAGCUCUUUGCAGGCUCUAUGGCAACAUUAAAGCCAGAUGCUAUUAUGACCAUAUCCAAGCUUGGUCCAUUACCAACUACUGACUGGACAUCUCAAACUGAAAUCUGUCUAAACUUCACUUUGUACCCCCAACUUUCCCAGCUACCCAACUGGUGAUGUUCUGAAAGAAACUAGCAGGUACAAACCCUCUGAGCCAGCUGGAUGUAUUCUAUCUCCAGAGGAUCUUUGACAAAAAGAUCCAGGAUCCACGGAAAUAACUGUAGGCUGACCUUUGGGGAGAGGCAAAGAACUAGAAUAGAAACCACUGGGAAAUAGACCAGCAUCCCAUGGUGUAAGAAUGGUGGUACCCGGUACGGGGAACAACACUACAUAUAAUCUGAUGCAAUGGAGAGAGAGCCAGGAAAACAUUCCUGACUCCAGUGCAGAUGGGAAGAACAAGAAAAUAGCAACAAUGCUUCCAAAUCUGUUCUUCAAUCAAAGAAUUGGAAAUUGAAGGGCUAACCAUCCACUGGGGAAUGUGGCAUGGAGUGGUUAUGGAAUACUGAACAGGAUGACUUCUUUAAGAACUGGAAGGAUCUAGGUGAACUGAUGUUGAGUGAAAUAAGCAGAACCAGAACAUUGGACACAGUAACAGCAAUAGCAUACGAUGAUCAACUGUGAAAGACUUGGCUAGGAUUUAUGAUAGGGAAUGCCAUCCACCUUCAGAGAAAGAACCCGGGGAGUUGGAUACAGAUCACAGCAGACGAUCGUUCACAUUCGCUGAUUUACGGUUUUAUUUGGGGUUAGGUUUUAUAGGAGUGUUCUCUUACAAUGACCAAUAUGGAGGUAUGGUUUGCAUAAUACAUGUACAACCCAGAUUCAUUUACUUACCAUCUCUUGAGAGGAGGAGGAUGAAAGGGAGACACUUUGGAUCUUAUAAUUUUGGAAAACGUGUUGAAAAUUGCUAUUACAUGCAAUUGGGAAAAGAAAAUAUCUUUGAAUAAAAAAAAAGUCCAUCAUCAA
This is a long non-coding RNA of Monodelphis domestica (gray short-tailed opossum), 1957 nucleotides long. RefSeq lists it as uncharacterized. The record is from RefSeq and is a predicted model, not a curated record. NCBI's taxonomy places the organism in Eukaryota, Metazoa, Chordata, Mammalia, Didelphimorphia, Didelphidae.